RNAcentral lists this ribosomal RNA (2949 nucleotides) under Triticum aestivum (bread wheat). RNAcentral describes it as "partial small subunit ribosomal RNA". The record is from RNAcentral. Lineage: Eukaryota; Viridiplantae; Streptophyta; Magnoliopsida; Poales; Poaceae.
AUGGUCUCCAUUAACCCGGAGUCAAAAUCAAGGGCUGUGAACAGGGAGGUACUCAGUGAGCUAAUCAAGUUGCACGGCAAGACAUCCCUUGGGGGCAAAUUGCCUGCCUACGAUGGAAGAAAGAGUCUUUACACUGCAGGCUCACUCCCUUUUGAGUCUGAGGAGUUUUCUGUUACACUGGUUGAUCCCGAAAAGAAAGACAAAGAAAAGGCUGAAAGGGAGUACAAGAUCACCAUUCGGAUUGCUGGGAGGACAGACCUGUACCACCUCCAGCAGUUCCUCAAAGGAAGACAGAGGGAUAUGCCUCAAGAAACCAUCCAAGUUCUUGAUGUUGUCCUCAGGGAGUCACCAUCCUGGAACUAUGUCACAGUGUCCAGAUCCUUCUUCUCCACCACCUUUGGUCACAGAGGAGACAUUGGUGAAGGAUUAGAGUGCUGGAGAGGUUACUACCAGAGCUUACGUCCAACCCAGAUGGGGCUGUCACUCAAUAUAGACAUAUCUGCGACAUCCUUCUUCAAGCCUGUGACAGUGGUCCAGUUUGUGCUAGAGUUCCUCAACUUACGUGAUGCCUCGCGGCCUCUGACAGACAGGGACCGUGUUAAGAUAAAGAAAGCACUCCGUGGGGUGCGUGUCGAAACAAACCACCAGGAAGACCAAAUCCGAAGAUACAAGAUAACAGGGAUUACUCCUGUUCCCAUGAGCCAGCUCAUAUUUCCUAUUGAUGAGAGAGGAACAAGAAUGUCAGUUGUUCAGUACUUCAUGCAAAGAUACAACUACAAUCUGCAGUAUACUUCUUGGCCCUGCUUGCAGUCCGGAAGUGACGCUCGGCCUGUGUAUCUGCCUAUGGAGGCGUGCAAGAUUGUUGAAGGGCAAAGGUACUCUAAGAAACUGAAUGACAAGCAGGUCACCAACAUACUUAGAGCUACCUGUCAACGUCCCCAGCAGAGGGAGCAAAGCAUUCGUGAGAUGGUUCUGCACAACAAGUAUGCUGAGGACAAGUUUGCUCAGGAGUUCGGGAUCAAUGUCUGCAGUGACCUGGUCUCUGUUCCAGCCCGUGUGCUGCCUCCCCCCAUGUUGAGAUUUCAUGAUUCUGGAAAGGAGAAAACUUGUGCGCCAAGUGUUGGACAGUGGAACAUGAUUAACAAGAAAAUGAUCAAUGGAGGAAUCAUAGACAACUGGGCCUGUGUGAGUUUUUCACGCAUGCGUCCUGAGGAGGUACACAGGUUCUGUUGUGAUCUGAUUCAGAUGUGCAAUAUGACUGGAAUGGUUGGGCGGCCACCUUCCAUUGAGAAGGCCUUUACUAGAUUUGGUGUUCCGUCUGUGAAAAAUAUCCCAACAAUCAUCUUUGGUGCUGAUGUUACACACCCCCCACCUGGAGAGGACUCUGCAUCAUCAAUUGCUGCGGUGGUGGCAUCAAUGGACUGGCCAGAGAUCACCAAGUACAGUGGUCUUGUCUCUGCUCAACCACACAGGCAGGAGAUAAUCGAAGACCUCUUCAGUGUCACCAAAGUUCCGCAGAGGGGUAAUGUCAAUGGUGGCAUGAUCAGGGAGUUACUGAUUGCCUUCCGCAGGAAGACAGGCCGGAGGCCUGAGAGGAUACUCUUCUUCAGGGAUGGUGUAAGUGAAGGCCAAUUCAGCCAUGUUCUGCUUCAUGAAAUGGACGCAAUCAGGAAGGCCUGUGCCUCAUUGGAGGAGGGUUAUCAACCUGAGGUCAAUUUUGUUCCUGUUGAGAAGAAACAUUACACCAGGCUACUCUCUGAGGAUCAUGGGAGGCAUGAUAUGACUGACAAAAGUGGAAACAAACUUCCUGGUCUUGUCACGGCUCAUGAAAAUAAUGGGCAGCACAGACCCAUCAAUAUAUUUAUUGACUGUCCAGCCGGUAGAUUAGUAGUACAGGUCCCUUUAAGCAGUACGUGCUAUUCACUGAAGACUGCUAUUGAAAAGAAACUGAAUGUUUCAAUCAAUAGUUGUUCAUUGUAUCUUGUAAGAAAGCCUAUUAACUAUGGAAAGACCCUAUCUUACUAUGGCUUACGGGAUGAGUCUGUGCUUAGGAUGGAGGCAAAAUUGCUAGGCGGUGCUUCUAUUGGGGUUCCUCAAACGGUUGCUCAAACUUUCUCAGACCAAAACUUAAAAGAAUACAGUGCUGAUAGCACCAAGUUCUUUCGAAAUGAGCUUGUUCGAGAUAAAGAUUGGCCUGGGAGAAAGAAACUUAUUAGAGUAUUCAACAAGAAGGGCAAUAUUCUUGGUCUUAGUGUAUUAGAUCAACUGAAGAAAGCAAUUAAAGAAAAAAAAUCAUGGGAUGGUCAACUAAAAAAGAAAGAUUUUAGGGUAGUUGAUGGGCGGGCCGUGAUAAUUAAAAAGCCUAUUUAUAAUAUUGAUGCCGUGAAUUUUCCCAAGGAUUGCAAAAAGAUACGGAAAAUUCUAAAGAAAAUCUUUCAAACAGAAAUCAGUGGGGCCGACGCACCUUUUCUGCAGUGGAAUCCUUUCCUCAGAGACUUGCUAGAAGUGUUAGAAUUGGCAACAUUCAGCGACCUUUACUGGCUAGUACCAUUUAUCAAGACGAAUUUUGCGUUUAAGACGCCAAUCCAACGCGAAAAUGCGUCUUAUAACAUUGUAAGAUAUUAUGAAGGUUUGAACUGGCAAGACAAGGCGAAUUUCGAAGCAAUUGUUGACGGGGUCACUGUUCCGCCUGACUGGCGGUCAUGCAAAGUGCAAACACAUUACUUCUUUAGAAAAACAAUACAAUAUGCUUUCCAGAAGUUUGGGUGCACGUACUCUUUGUCUUCUUUCGGAUGCUUUAAAUUUCAAAGAAAUCAUGCGACUCAUGCGAAAGUGUCUCCAUUUCACUUGAGUGACCACGAGAUUACUAUGUUCUUAAGAAGUUUUGUUGCGGAGGUUAUUCGGGGGCUCUUGAAGAAGCGUGUCCCGAUCAAGAAGGCCUUGCAGUAA